This 480-nucleotide ribosomal RNA is filed under the name uncultured bacterium. Its description in RNAcentral is "partial 16S ribosomal RNA". It matches the Rfam family "Bacterial small subunit ribosomal RNA", at positions 28 to 523 of the family's 1533-position model. The record is from RNAcentral.
GACAAACGCUGGCGGCGUGCCUAAUACAUGCAAGUCGAACGACGAAAGCCUUCGGGCAAGUAAGAGUGGCGCACGGGCGAGGAACACGUAGAUAAUCUGCCCUUCAGUGGGGAAUAACUCUCCGAAAGGAGUGCUAAUACCGCAUAAGACCACAAGCUCUGCGGAGCAAGGGGUUAAAGGAUUUAUUCGCUGAAGGAGGAGUCUGCGUCCGAUUAGCUAGUUGGUGAGGUAAUGGCUUACCAAGGCAACGAUCGGUGGAUGGUCUGAGAGGAUGAUCAUCCGCACUGGAACUGAGACACGGUCCAGACUCCUACGGGAGGCAGCAGUAGGGAAUAUUGCACAAUGGGGGAAACCCUGAUGCAGCAACGCCGCGUGAGUGAUGAAGGCUCUAGGGUCGUAAAGCUCUGUCGUAUGGGAAGAAAAAAAUGACGGUACCAUACAAGAAAGGACCGGCCAACUUCGUGCCAGCCGCCGCGGUAA